This 501-nucleotide ribosomal RNA is filed under the name uncultured bacterium. RNAcentral describes it as "partial 16S ribosomal RNA". It matches the Rfam family "Bacterial small subunit ribosomal RNA", at positions 29 to 523 of the family's 1533-position model. The record is from RNAcentral.
AACGAACGCUGGCGGCGCGCUUAACACAUGCAAGUCGAACGAGAAGGCGUAGCAAUACGCUUGUACAGUGGCGAACGGGUGAGUAACACGUGGGUGACCUACCCUCGAGUGGGGAUUAACCCGCCGAAAGGCGGGCUAAUGCCGCGUACGCUUCCAGGUUUUCGGAUCUGGAAGGAAAGCCAUGCCGUGGGCAUGGCGCUCAAGGAUGGGCUCACGUCCUAUCAGCUUGUUGGUAGGGUAACGGCCUACCAAGGCAACGACGGGUAGCUGGUCUGAGAGGACGAUCAGCCACACUGGCACUGCGACACGGGCCAGACUCCUACGGGAGGCAGCAGUGAGGAAUAUUGCGCAAUGGGCGAAAGCCUGACGCAGCGACGCCGCGUGGGGGAUGAAGGUCUUCGGAUUGUAAACCCCUUUCGGGAGGGAAGAUGGGACGGGCAACCGUUCGGACGGUACCUCCAGAAGCAGCCACGGCUAACUUCGUGCCAGCAGCCGCCGUAA